UCAUUUUAAAACACAUCAAUCUUCAUCAUCUUUAAAUAAAAAGGAUAAACAUUAUGGAUUUCCAUUAUCUCAAGCAAAAACAAAGAGUUCAAAAUAUUAGUGGUAAGAACUGUCAAAAACUUGUGAUAGCUAUGAUGAAGAGAUUUAUGACAAAUUCGCUCAUGGCCAAAUCUAAUAUGGCAGCUGGAAAAGGCAAAGGAUCUUUUUAGCCUAACUAAGCUAUACAACUUAAUAAAAGUUUGUGCAUCGACUUCUCACGAAUCAUACACAGAGUCGAUUGUCAAUGCAAUAAUUGCUGAUUCGUGAAAACGGGCAACUUUUGCUUGUCUUAAAGUGCCUUAAAUCCAUCGUUAUAAUAUUACUUUGUUUGUAAAUUGUUUUAAAAAAUAAAUUUAAAAAUAACUUUUAAAUAAA
This is a long non-coding RNA of Hydra vulgaris (swiftwater hydra), 414 nucleotides long. RefSeq lists it as uncharacterized. The record is from RefSeq and is a predicted model, not a curated record. NCBI's taxonomy places the organism in Eukaryota, Metazoa, Cnidaria, Hydrozoa, Anthoathecata, Hydridae.